ACUUAUCUAGCUCAGUUGGUAAAUACAAGGCUUUUAACCUUGUGGUUGUGGGUUCGAGCCCCACGGUGGGCA
Molecule: transfer RNA, 72 nt
Filed under: Zea mays
Lineage: Eukaryota; Viridiplantae; Streptophyta; Magnoliopsida; Poales; Poaceae
Rfam family: tRNA
About the family: Transfer RNA (tRNA) molecules are approximately 80 nucleotides in length. Their secondary structure includes four short double-helical elements and three loops (D, anti-codon, and T loops).
Source: Rfam by way of RNAcentral